UUGUUAGGUGACUGCGUACCUUUUGUAUAAUGGGUCAGCGACUUAUAUUCAGUGGCGAGCUUAACCGAAUAGGGGAGGCGUAGCGAAAGCGAGUCUUAAUAGGGCGUUUAGUCGCUGGGUAUAGACCCGAAACCGGGCGAUCUAUCCAUGGGCAGGUUGAAGGUUAGGUAACACUGACUGGAGGACCGAACCGACUACCGUUGAAAAGUUAGCGGAUGACCUGUGGAUCGGAGUGAAAGGCUAAUCAAGCUCGGAGAUAGCUGGUUCUCCUCGAAAGCUAUUUAGGUAGCGCCUCAUGUAUCACUCCAGGGGGUAGAGCACUGUUUCGGCUAGGGGGUCAUCCCGACUUACCAAACCGAUGCAAACUCCGAAUACCUGGAAGUGCCGAGCAUGGGAGACACACGGCGGGUGCUAACGUCCGUCGUGAAAAGGGAAACAACCCAGACCGUCAGCUAAGGUCCCAAAGUCAUGGUUAAGUGGGAAACGAUGUGGGAAGGCUUAGACAGCUAGGAGGUUGGCUUAGAAGCAGCCACCCUUUAAAGAAAGCGUAAUAGCUCACUAGUCGAGUCGGCCUGCGCGGAAGAUGUAACGGGGCUCAAACCAUGCACCGAAGCUACGGGUGUCAUCUUUGAUGACGCGGUAGAGGAGCGUUCUGUAAGCCUGUGAAGGUGAGUUGAGAAGCUUGCUGGAGGUAUCAGAAGUGCGAAUGCUGACAUGAGUAACGACAAUGCGAGUGAAAAACUCGCACGCCGAAAGACCAAGGUUUCCUGCGCAACGUUAAUCGACGCAGGGUUAGUCGGUCCCUAAGGCGAGGCUGAAAAGCGUAGUCGAUGGAAAACAGGUUAAUAUUCCUGUACUUCCAGUUAUUGCGAUGGAGGGACGGAGAAGGUUAGGCCAGCCUGGCGUUGGUUGUCCAGGUUUAAGGUGGUAGGCUGAAAUCUUAGGCAAAUCCGGGAUUUCAAGGCCGAGAGCUGAUGACGAGUUGCCUUCAGGCGACGAAGUGGUUGAUACCAUGCUUCCAAGAAAAGCUCCUAAGCUUCAGAUAACUGGGAACCGUACCCCAAACCGACACAGGUGGUUAGGUAGAGAAUACCAAGGCGCUUGAGAGAACUCGGGUGAAGGAACUAGGCAAAAUGGCACCGUAACUUCGGGAGAAGGUGCGCCGGCGAGGGUGAAGGACUUGCUCCGUAAGCCCAUGCCGGUCGAAGAUACCAGGCCGCUGCGACUGUUUAUUAAAAACACAGCACUCUGCAAACACGAAAGUGGACGUAUAGGGUGUGACGCCUGCCCGGUGCCGGAAGGUUAAUUGAUGGGGUUAGCGCAAGCGAAGCUCUUGAUCGAAGCCCCGGUAAACGGCGGCCGUAACUAUAACGGUCCUAAGGUAGCGAAAUUCCUUGUCGGGUAAGUUCCGACCUGCACGAAUGGCGUAACGAUGGCGGCGCUGUCUCCACCCGAGACUCAGUGAAAUUGAAAUCGCUGUGAAGAUGCAGUGUAUCCGCGGCUAGACGGAAAGACCCCGUGAACCUUUACUAUAGCUUUGCACUGGACUUUGAAUUUGCUUGUGUAGGAUAGGUGGGAGGCUUUGAAGUGGGGACGCCAGUUCUCAUGGAGCCAUCCUUGAAAUACCACCCUGGCAACUUUGAGGUUCUAACUCAGGUCCGUUAUCCGGAUCGAGGACAGUGUAUGGUGGGUAGUUUGACUGGGGCGGUCUCCUCCCAAAGAGUAACGGAGGAGUACGAAGGUGCGCUCAGACCGGUCGGAAAUCGGUCGUAGAGUAUAAAGGCAAAAGCGCGCUUGACUGCGAGACAAACACGUCGAGCAGGUACGAAAGUAGGUCUUAGUGAUCCGGUGGUUCUGUAUGGAAGGGCCAUCGCUCAACGGAUAAAAGGUACUCCGGGGAUAACAGGCUGAUACCGCCCAAGAGUUCAUAUCGACGGCGGUGUUUGGCACCUCGAUGUCGGCUCAUCACAUCCUGGGGCUGAAGCCGGUCCCAAGGGUAUGGCUGUUCGCCAUUUAAAGUGGUACGCGAGCUGGGUUUAGAACGUCGUGAGACAGUUCGGUCCCUAUCUGCCGUGGACGUUUGAGAUUUGAGAGGGGCUGCUCCUAGUACGAGAGGACCGGAGUGGACGAACCUCUGGUGUUCCGGUUGUCACGCCAGUGGCAUUGCCGGGUAGCUAUGUUCGGAAGAGAUAACCGCUGAAAGCAUCUAAGCGGGAAACUUGCCUCAAGAUGAGAUCUCACUGGGAUCUUGAAUCCCCUGAAGGGCCGUCGAAGACUACGACGUUGAUAGGUUGGGUGUGUAAGCGCUGUGAGGCGUUGAGCUAACCAAUACUAAUUGCCCGUGAGGCUUGACCAU
Molecule: ribosomal RNA, 2356 nt
Filed under: Pseudomonas putida
Lineage: Bacteria; Pseudomonadati; Pseudomonadota; Gammaproteobacteria; Pseudomonadales; Pseudomonadaceae
Also listed under: 1 other name
Description: partial 23S ribosomal RNA
Rfam family: Bacterial large subunit ribosomal RNA
Source: RNAcentral